GACGAACGCUGGCGGCGGGCUUAACACAUGCAAGUCGAACGGAAAGGCCCUGCUUUUGUGGGGUGCUCGAGUGGCGAACGGGUAAGUAACACGUGAGUAACCUGCCCUUGACUUUGGGAUAACUUCAGGAAACUGGGGCUAAUACCGGAUAGGAUCUCCUGCUGCAUGGUGGGGGGUGGAAAGUUUCGGCGGUUGGGGAUGGACUCGCGGCUUAUCAGCUUGUUGGUGGGGUAGUGGCUUACCAAGGCUUUGACGGGUAGCCGGCCUGAGAGGGUGACCGGCCACAUUGGGACUGAGAUACGGCCCAGACUCCUACGGGAGGCAGCAGUGGGGAAUAUUGCACAAUGGGCGGAAGCCUGAUGCAGCAACGCCGCGUGCGGGAUGACGGCCUUCGGGUUGUAAACCGCUUUCGCCUGUGACGAAGCGUGAGUGACGGUAAUGGGUAAAGAAGCACCGGCUAACUACGUG
This 468-nucleotide ribosomal RNA is filed under the name uncultured bacterium. RNAcentral's name for it is "partial 16S ribosomal RNA". It matches the Rfam family "Bacterial small subunit ribosomal RNA", at positions 28 to 507 of the family's 1533-position model. The record is from RNAcentral.